RNAcentral lists this ribosomal RNA (253 nucleotides) under uncultured bacterium. RNAcentral's name for it is "partial 16S ribosomal RNA". It matches the Rfam family "Bacterial small subunit ribosomal RNA", at positions 524 to 776 of the family's 1533-position model. The record is from RNAcentral.
UACGUAGGGGGCAAGCGUUGUCCGGAAUCAUUGGGCGUAAAGAGCGUGUAGGCGGCUUGGUAAGUCCGCUGUGAAAGUCGGGGGCUCAACCCUCGAAAGCCGGUGGAUACUGUCGGGCUAGAGUGCGGAAGAGGCGAGUGGAAUUCCUGGUGUAGCGGUGAAAUGCGCAGAUAUCAGGAGGAACACCAAUUGCGGAGGCAGCUCGCUGGGACGUUACUGACGCUGAGGAGCGAAAGCGUGGGGAGCGAACAGG